CCGGCUGAAAGAUGGGAUGCUAAUUCAGUACUGGGUGACGAGCAGAACCAGAGUGAUCCAGAUCCGCCACACUGAAGUUCAGAACGAGGCUCUUCGUCUUCAGCGGCUUGUGCUGCUCUGCUGUUUUCAUGGGAAUCCGUCACCGUGGAGAUGUGGAGGUAAUCGCUCUCUACCGGAGCCGGGGGAGACAGCAGCACAUCCCACAGGACUAAAUCCAUCGUCAGAUUCACACCGGUUCACUCUUCGUGAUGAGCUAAUCAGAGACACUGUCAC
This is a long non-coding RNA of Gasterosteus aculeatus aculeatus (three-spined stickleback), 273 nucleotides long. The record is from Ensembl. NCBI's taxonomy places the organism in Eukaryota, Metazoa, Chordata, Actinopteri, Perciformes, Gasterosteidae.